CCUAUACAUGCAGUCGAGCGGACAGAAGGGAGCUUGCUCCCGGAUGUUAGCGGCGGACGGGUGAGUAACACGUGGGUAACCUGCCUGUAAGACUGGGAUAACUCCGGGAAACCGGAGCUAAUACCGGAUAGUUCCUUGAACCGCAUGGUUCAAGGAUGAAAGACGGUUUCGGCUGUCACUUACAGAUGGACCCGCGGCGCAUUAGCUAGUUGGUGGGGUAAUGGCUCACCAAGGCGACGAUGCGUAGCCGACCUGAGAGGGUGAUCGGCCACACUGGGACUGAGACACGGCCCAGACUCCUACGGGAGGCAGCAGUAGGGAAUCUUCCGCAAUGGACGAAAGUCUGACGGAGCAACGCCGCGUGAGUGAUGAAGGUUUUCGGAUCGUAAAGCUCUGUUGUUAGGGAAGAACAAGUGCGAGAGUAACUGCUCGCACCUUGACGGUACCUAACCAGAAAGCCACGGCUAACUACGUGCCAGCAGCCGCGGUAAUACGUAGGUGGCAAGCGUUGUCCGGAAUUAUUGGGCGUAAAGGGCUCGCAGGCGGUUUCUUAAGUCUGAUGUGAAAGCCCCCGGCUCAACCGGGGAGGGUCAUUGGAAACUGGGAAAUUGAGUGCAGAAGAGGAGAGUGGAAUUCCACGUGUAGCGGUGAAAUGCGUAGAGAUGUGGAGGAACACCAGUGGCGAAGGCGACUCUCUGGUCUGUAACUGACGCUGAGGAGCGAAAGCGUGGGGAGCGAACAGGAUUAGAUACCCUGGUAGUCCACGCCGUAAACGAUGAGUGCUAAGUGUUAGGGGGUUUCCGCCCCUUAGUGCUGCAGCUAACGCAUUAAGCACUCCGCCUGGGGAGUACGGUCGCAAGACUGAAACUCAAAGGAAUUGACGGGGGCCCGCACAAGCGGUGGAGCAUG
RNAcentral lists this ribosomal RNA (909 nucleotides) under Bacillus sp. NTY33. RNAcentral describes it as "bacterial SSU rRNA". It matches the Rfam family "Bacterial small subunit ribosomal RNA", at positions 48 to 941 of the family's 1533-position model. The record is from RNAcentral. Lineage: Bacteria; Bacillati; Bacillota; Bacilli; Caryophanales; Bacillaceae.